GUGGGGAAUAUUGGACAAUGGGCGAAAGCCUGAUCCAGCCAUGCCGCGUGUGUGAAGAAGGUCUUCGGAUUGUAAAGCACUUUAAGUUGGGAGGAAGGGCAGUAAGUUAAUACCUUGCUGUUUUGACGUUACCGACAGAAUAAGCCCCGGCUAACUUCGUGCCAGCAGCCGCGGUAAUACGAAGGGUGCAAGCGUUAAUCGGAAUUACUGGGCGUAAAGCGCGCGUAGGUGGUUUUGUAAGUUGGAGGUGAAAUCCCCGGGCUCAACCUGGGGACUGCCUCCAAAACUGCAUGACUAGAGUACGGUAGAGGGUAGUGGAAUUUCCUGUGUAGCGGUGAAAUGCGUAGAUAUAGGAAGGAACACCAGUGGCGAAGGCGACUACCUGGACUGAUACUGACACUGAGGUGCGAAAGCGUGGGGAGCAAACAGGAUUAGAAACCCUGGUAGUCC
Molecule: ribosomal RNA, 450 nt
Filed under: uncultured bacterium
Lineage: Bacteria
Description: bacterial SSU rRNA
Rfam family: Bacterial small subunit ribosomal RNA
Source: RNAcentral